UUUUGUAUUAAUACAUCGUUUUAAGACACUUUGUAUAUUUAUAAAGAUAUAAGGAACGAUUUCGCCUCAAAUCGAUCCUUAUAUAUCUUGUUAUCUCUUACAUGUAGAAUUUUACCCUCAAACCGCCGAGGUCACUUGCGGGCGAGGCGCUACAUUUGACAUAUCAACACAAAUUCGUCAACUUUGAAGGAUUUAUGUUUCUAUCAGGUCAAGUUUGUAUAAAGUAAAGACUAAGAAAGUAGUCUUAUUUAAGAGACUGUCCUGAGACUUUGAUAUGUUUGUCAGAAAACUGUACUUUUUUAACAAACAACGGGUGUCAUAGAUCCCUGAGCAGGUAAGGUAUGGUUUGCAGGAGAAGUAGCGAUAAAAAUGUUGGUUAUACUAAAAGUAAGUAAUAACCAAACGUGAUUUCUAAAAGUACUCAUAUAGAACGCUACUCAAAUAGCGGAUAAAUCGAGAUAAACACUUAAAUGUACACAAAUAUAAGAAACAUGUCAUGACUUGUUUGAUUGAAGUAUUAUUUACAUCUCAACUUUGAUAUAAUUUCUUAAUUUAUUUUAUUUUACCAUGAGUGUGUUUCACAAAGAUUAGUUGAUACCUUCCAGCUUCAAUUUGUUUGAAAAUUCCCAAUAAACAAUUAAAACUUAUUUAUAUUAAUCACCACAAAAUUGUCGAGAUGAUUCACAAUUUACAUUUUGAUAAGAUAUUACUCAAAAAAAAAGAAUCAUUUCCUCGGUUUUAACAUUAAUAAUUUCUAGAAUAUUCUAGAAGGAUACAUUAUUCAAUUUAAAAAGAGAGGAGAAGAUAAGAGACGGUAAGAAAGGAAGAAAGGCCUCGAAAAAAGCGUGUUUGAACGUGUUUAAAGAGUCUCGUUUAUGUUCUAGAAUUUUAAGGAGAAAUAACAAUUUUAUCAGCAAGAAAUUAAUAAAUUUGUUUAAAAACAAUUACGAAACGAAUUAAUCUUUUUUUUAACUGUUUUAAAACCUUGCACAAUUAAGGUUUAAAACACAAUCUUCAAGGUUUCUAUGACUAAUCCGAAUCGAUACAUAUUUUGAAAUUAAAUCCCAUUUAAAUAAAAAUAUUUAAAAACGAUAAAUCGACGUCAUUAAACGGUUAAUAUCAUCAUCAACGUCUUUUUGAGACGUGCACAACGUGGUUGUCGUCACGUACUUGUUAUCUCUGCACCGUUUUAACAUUUUUAUUCCUUUGUAAUUUUUUCUUUCUUUUGUAGCUCUUCCAACCAAAGCAAAAAAGAUACAAUUAACGUGGAUUAAAGUACGACCUCGCUUUUUUCCCUCUUUUUAACUAAGCAUUAUCACAGAAUGACUCAUUAUUGUAAAACGUGCUUAUUAACUCGUAUAAUGCGGCAAGUAGUCACUAACUAAAAAUGUUGCAUCAGAUAUUUUUCAGCUUAUCUUUAGAUGUUGAGGUUGCAUCAGAAUCUUAAUUUAAAUUAAUUUUUAGGUUAUGUUUAAUUUUAAUUUGACGUUUCAAGGUUAUAUAAAAUUUUUUUUUUCUUAAGUUUGUAGUAACUAUAAUCCCGUUUUGUUUUUGUUUUUAAUGAGACGCCGUAUUUCGUGGUAAAUUAAUGAAGAAAAAGGGGGUAAAUUUGAUGUUAAAAAAGAAAAUUAUCCCCAAAGUGAGUUUUAUUAAAGCUUUUUUACGUUUUCUUUUUGUUUUGCAGGAAGAAUUGCGAUUUUUAAAACCGGGGUGAUUCUAACCUGUAAAAUUUUUUUGGUGCUUUCAAGUUGGUAUCAGUUAUCAAUAAUUAGUGGUCCGUGCCUAAUUCUGCCUGUCUUAUUACCUUCACAUCUUGUACUGGAUAUCUAAAAAAAAAAACAUCUCAUCGAUUUCUAUUAAUAAAAUGGAUAAGUGGAAAACAUCAUCUGUUACAUAUCUUUAUGACAAAACGGCAGCUGUUUGCCGUCUAAAUAUUCAUCUGCAUUGAAUGGAACGCCGUGAAUGGAGGUUACUCGAAGAAACGAGUUGUUCAUUCCAUUUCUGUAAAACCCGAAACUCCAAGUGUGGAUAAAUGGAUUCGAUGAUGAAUGUUUAAAAUUUAUUGGAAUUAAGAAAUGAGUUAAAGAAACUUGAAUUAUAAAAAGAAGAACAAAGGUUUUCGUGCUUGAACACGUUAUGACAAGUUCAUAGCCAGGUUGUAGCUAUUUUUAAGAACAACUCAUGAUUCUCCAUUACAUCUCAACCCGCAAAAUGGGAGAUCUUAAAAGAUAAGGUUCUAGAUGGACACCUGUGAUACGUGCCGUACAAAACGUUUCUACUUUAUAACUCGUUUCUUCUACGCCCCGGGGGCAAAGGAGCCACUCCCGGCGCUUGAUGCCGUCGCUCCUCCGCCAGAUUUAAAAAUAAUUAAAUCUCCGAGGUCAGAAAACAGAGACAACGCCGGUAGAAAAUCAACUUUCUCCGUAACUGGUGUGGCGCCUCAACCCAAUAAACAAAUUCAAGAAACCAGGUCAGAACUACAAAGUACAAAGCAUCAAGAAUCUAAUACGGUUUUCGUGCUUCAACACGUUAUGACAAGUUCAUAGCCAGGUUGUAGCUAUUUUUAAGAACUACUCAUGAUUCUCCAUUAAGCAG
Molecule: non-coding RNA, 2595 nt
Organism: Onthophagus taurus
Lineage: Eukaryota; Metazoa; Arthropoda; Insecta; Coleoptera; Scarabaeidae
Source: RefSeq, a predicted model, not a curated record